AAACGCUGGCGGCGUGCUAAAACUGCAGAUUAACGAAGCACUUCGGUGCUUAGCUGGCGAACUAGUGAGUACACGUAUGUACCUGCCCUCAAGACGAGGAUAACCGUUGGAAACGAUGGCUAAGACUGGAUAGGAACCGAGGAGGCAUCUCUUUGGUUUUAAAGGACCUGGCAACAGGUACGCUUGAGGAGGGGCCUGCGGCGCAUUAGUUAGUUGGCGGGGUGAAGGCCCACCAAGACGAUGAUGCGUAGCCGGACUGAGAGGUUGAACGGCCACAUUGGGACUGAGAGACGGCCCAAACUCCUACGGGAGGCAGCAGUAGGGAAUUUUCGGCAAUGGAGGAAACUCUGACCGAGCAACGCCGCGUGAAUGACGAAGUACUUCGGUAUGUAAAGUUCUUUUAUCAGGGAAGAAUGACUCGUGGAAAAGCGAGAGUGACGGUACCUGAUGAAUAAGCCCCGGCUAACUAUGUGCCAGCAGCCGCGGUAAUACAUAGGGGGCGAGCGUUAUCCGGAAUUAUUGGGCGUAAAGGGUGCGUAGGCGGUUAUUUAAGUCUUUGGUGUACAGUGCAAUGCUCAACCUUGUGAUGCUAAGGAAACUGGAUAACUUGAGUGUGGUAGAGAGCAGUGGAAUUCCAUGUGUAGCGGUAAAAUGCGUAAAUAU
RNAcentral lists this ribosomal RNA (663 nucleotides) under uncultured bacterium. RNAcentral's name for it is "bacterial SSU rRNA". It matches the Rfam family "Bacterial small subunit ribosomal RNA", at positions 31 to 697 of the family's 1533-position model. The record is from RNAcentral.